GAAUACUGGACUAGAAGACAAACCAUCAUAUCCAUCAAAAUAAACAGUAAUAUCUAUUAAUUUAUAAUCUACAAAUGUUUAGUAGUGCCUUUAAUUUAUCCAGAGUUAUAAUUAAAAAUUGUUAUGAAAAAAAUGUAGAUGGAAAAUGAGUUGCCACUUAUUUUAGGCCCACACAUACACUUCUUAAAGAGAAAAAUAAUAUUCUAAAAGUUGGAUUCUUUUGUCAUUAUUUGAUUUGCUUUUCUUUGUUCAUAUCAUUUGCUAUAGGCCCUUAUUUUUAGUAAAUUUUCUAAAAGUAAUCAGAUGAAAUAAAAAAAAUCGGCCGAAUCAAUUUGCUACUAUUAUCUACGAUUUUAAGAUAAAUUCAGAUUUUACUUUUCUUUUUUUUUUUUGCCGUCUAUCCAUUUAAACUAUAUCAAGUGGAGAGUAUACGAACCGAUUCCGAAGAGCAUCUCCAUCUGUCCGAAUCUGAUAUAUAUGGGAGAAGAUAAAACUUCUGGUCCUUGCAUCUUUUGCUAAUCCGUCUGCCCGACCAUUUCGACUUCGAGGAAUAUAAGUAGUCUCACAUCUUCGAAGUCUUCCUGUAACCUCUGGAACACCUUGAUCUCUGUCGCGAAAGCUGGCCAAUCCAUCGGGUUUGGAAUCAUAUCCACUAAGUCCAUGCAGUCUAUCUCAAACCGUACUGCAGUGAUCCCUUUGUCUUUCAUACAUGAGGCUGCCUAAAGUAACCCUUCUAUCUCAGCGUGCAAAGCUGAGAGGUUCUUGUUACACGCCCGUAAUCCGAAGUAUUCUAAUCUCAU
This 800-nucleotide long non-coding RNA is filed under the name Brassica rapa (field mustard). RNAcentral describes it as "long non-coding RNA (BRAP_LNC001655)". The record is from RNAcentral. Lineage: Eukaryota; Viridiplantae; Streptophyta; Magnoliopsida; Brassicales; Brassicaceae.